This 77-nucleotide ribosomal RNA is filed under the name Cyrtorchis ringens. RNAcentral describes it as "partial 5.8S ribosomal RNA". It matches the Rfam family "5.8S ribosomal RNA", at positions 1 to 72 of the family's 154-position model. From Rfam's summary of the family: 5.8S ribosomal RNA (5.8S rRNA) is a component of the large subunit of the eukaryotic ribosome. It is transcribed by RNA polymerase I as part of the 45S precursor that also contains 18S and 28S rRNA. The record is from RNAcentral. Lineage: Eukaryota; Viridiplantae; Streptophyta; Magnoliopsida; Asparagales; Orchidaceae. RNAcentral also lists the same sequence under 5 other names.
GACACGACUCUCGGCAAUGGAUAUCUCGGCUCUCGCAUCGAUGAAGAGCGCAGCGAAAUGCGAUACUUGGUGUGAAU